GUCAGUAUGAGCAUGGAACUUGCUUUAGCCAGUGAAAUGUGAACCGUGUACCCUGUACCACUCUCAGGAGGAAGAUUUGCAAGCCACUAAGUGGACCUGCCUGACCCCUCCCUUGAUGAAGUUACCUUUGCCCCACGUUCUAAUCAACCUAUACCCCGUAGGCCAUCCUUACACUUCUGCUGGGGGUCUGGGUGGACCCCAGGUCAGACAACAAUUCAUGCUAAGCUGCUUAUGAACAGCAGACCACCUGCUGCAGAAUCAGGCAGGACAUGUGUAGCCUAUUUCCAUCAAACCUUCUGAAAUGGAAACCCCAGGAGUAGAGUCCAGCAUCCAGGCCCACAGGAUUCCCAGACAUACUCAGGUAUAAAAAUGCCACUGAGUCCUCUGUUAAUUAUUGACUCCAAAACAUUUCUUUGCAGAAGAUGAUGUUUUCUAAGACAGUGAUCUGAUUUUAAAUUACCAAGACACUGAGUCCUUAUUUUAUAUUCUUUUUCAUCUUUACACAAAUUUUCUUAAAUUAAUGCUCUUUAAAAUAAGCUCAUUUAAAAAAAAUGGUGAUAAAUCUCCAGGUUCUACAGAUGGAAAGACUGAAAAUAAGACACAGGUAUCAAAAACAGAAUAAGUGGAUCUAAUGCAGGGAUGUCAGGUGUGCCUCUGGGCCCUCAUCCAUUCCAAAUCCCACUCCACACCUACCUGUCCAUUCUCAGAUUAAAGAACAGAAUGCCCAGACUGCAAAGAAAUUAACAUGCCCCUUCGUUUUUAUUAGCUUUUAUUUUAGGCUCAUUAUCCAUACCUCUGUGCAUCCCUAUUCUGUGUCUGCACUCAUUUAGAAGCCAAAUACCAGUAGGCCAAUCAGCACAUU
RNAcentral lists this long non-coding RNA (862 nucleotides) under Marmota monax (woodchuck). Lineage: Eukaryota; Metazoa; Chordata; Mammalia; Rodentia; Sciuridae. The record is from RNAcentral.